AGUGAAUAGAUACCCGGGUAGUCCACGCCCUAAACGAUGCUAACUCGAUGUUUGGUUGAAAGAUUGAGCAUCCAAAGGGAAAACCGAUAAGUUAGCCACCUGGGGAGUACGACCGCAAGGUUGAAACUCAAAGGAAUUGACGGGGGUUCCGCACAAGCGGUGGAGCAUGUGGUUUAAUUCGAUGAUACGCGAGGAACCUUACCUAGGCUAGAAUGUGAGUGACAGAUGGUGAAAGCCGUUCUUCCUUCGGGACACGAAACAAGGUGCUGCAUGGUUGUCGUCAGCCGUCGUCGUCGUAGGUAGGUU
Molecule: ribosomal RNA, 306 nt
Filed under: uncultured bacterium
Lineage: Bacteria
Description: bacterial SSU rRNA
Rfam family: Bacterial small subunit ribosomal RNA
Source: RNAcentral